GGGGAGGAAGAGAAUUCUCGCUCACCUCUUUUAUAAGAAUACUUAUUCCAUUCCUGGGAAAUUCACCAUCAUGACUUCAUCACUUCCCAAAGGCUCCACCUGCUAGCAAUGUUCCAUUUCAACAGAUGAAUUUUGAGUGGUCACAAAUGGAAAGAAAUCCAAAAUGAGCUCAAGGAGAGGGCGUCUUGAGCCGGAGUUAAGACUGAAUCGAGAAUCACUUCUCUUCCUUAAUGAAUUCUAACAAAGGACUUAAAGUGUAGAAAACCAGAACAAAGUACAAAGAGCAGGGAUCCUAGAAAGGUAGUUUUGUUUUGAAGAGAUAUUUCCACGAAGGAGGUUGAUCUGCAGAGGAUAUCUUAAGACAGAGAAUCAUCAGAAGAGAGCUGCGUGGACGGGGUUGUUCUGGGGCUGCACCACCGUGAUGAAGAGCCCUCAGGAGCACCCAGACAAAAUGUUUCCACAAUAAUAUUUUGAAGCAAUCACAUACCAAC
This 491-nucleotide long non-coding RNA is filed under the name Fukomys damarensis (Damara mole-rat). RNAcentral's name for it is "lncRNA (ENSFDAG00000031575.1)". Lineage: Eukaryota; Metazoa; Chordata; Mammalia; Rodentia; Bathyergidae. The record is from RNAcentral.